CGCCAGCCUCCCUCCCCCCAGCCUCCCUCCCUCCCAGGCUCCUUCGCUUCACACACUCCACAGGCGCUACAGGAAUCCGACCAGCAUUCUUUUGCUCCUUUUUAUUUCCUUCUCCGUGUGGAGUUUCAGUGGUUCGAGGGACUUCUUGGACCUGUUUUUUUUUUCACUCUCACACAGAUUUCUUUUUAUUAUUCUUUGUUGUUUGGCGCAGUAGCCCUCUCCUCUGCCCUCCAGUCCCCUCCCACAGCUAUGACGCUCUCUGAUUGGACUAUGCCCCCCUCGGCUGAAGGACCAGGGGCCAGGUGCUGCUUUUGAGGCUCCUGGAAGAAUCGAGCGGCCAGGACAUAACUUGAAAGACGGUGGAGACAGUUAGGUAAGCAUUCUGAAAGAGGGAAAGCUCUGAGAAAUCGCUCUCUGUCUCGCGUGCGCGCUCUCGGAACCAACUGUAACAGGCUGUGCUGGAGUUCUGCUGAGUUGCUGGAUGCACUGACACCUUGACCAGCUUACCUGGAUCUGGGAUAGAACCAGGAAGAGGAGGGGGGGUGUCCCAGAAGACGUGGCUACCCACCAGCAGCAGGAAACUGUUGAAGAUGACUUCAACUGCCUCCCCUGUGACCAAAUUCACCACAGUGUCAUCCAAUGCCACCACCACCACCAAGUCCAGAGAACAAAUACUCACACAGAGCUCAGGGGCUAUGAUUGCCCUCAUCGUCGUGGCGAUCAUUAUCGUUCUAACCAUCCUGCUCGUUAUCCUAAAGACGUACAACAGGCGCACUCAUGUGUCCAGAGUGUUAGGAACCGUCUCCAAAGUUCCACCACGUCCAAAAAUGGCUUCUUCCUCUACAAUCCAUACCAGCAUGCCCUUGGGAAACCUACAAGACGGCUCUGCAUCCAGAAGCUUUGCUCAUUCAAAUAUUGAGUCUGGAAAUGGAUUCCGGCUACCUCGAGCUGAACUAAACAGCCUGGAGGAAAACAACUUGGAGCAGCAGAGUACAGUCAGCGAUUCGACAGUGGUCACCAUACAUGAUCCACCGUCAAUAGGAAAUACAUAGCAGAUCUCUAGCAUGUUGGACACAUGGUGAAGUCUGCAUGCUAUGUUGGAAAACAAAUAUGAACAAAGUGCAUAGGGAAGCAAUGGACACUAAGAUGGACAUAAACAUAUGCAUUUUUGACUACAGUGUUCAGGACUUGAAAAGAAUGAUUCUCCCCUCAGUGCAUUUGGGGCAGUGCAACCAACUUGAACUUGUCCUUGCUAAUUCUACUGUUGUGUUUCUGUCAAAGGUAGAUGUUGACACAUUCUUUAAUGAAUUCAGUUUAUUCUUAUGCAAGGUUUUUUUUAACAACGUCGUGGUUAUGGUUUUCACCAUACAGGGAAAAAUCAUGACAGUGUUUCGGAGAAAUGUCGAUACUGAACCACUGUGGAACUCCGGAAAGCAGACAGUUAUGAAUUUAUAAGUCCUAAUUAGUUUUAUAUCAAAUGAUUUUGCACUUUACACUAUCCAGUUUGUUUUGUUGGGUUUCUGACAAAAUAAAUGUUGAUAGUUCUAAUAUUGUGUGCAUGUUUCUACUACUAGGCUUUAAUGCAAUAUCCAAAUAAAAAGACAAUUCUUAUUUAUCCCCAAAGUUGGAAUAUUUAAAGCUUUGGAAAUGUAAUUUGCCACCAGAAAAACCUUUUCUUCAUCACUACUGUGAAAUAUUCCUGGAUUCUGAUGUUUUUUUGUCAAGAAAAGUUACUCUUGAAGGGGCUGUAUCGAACCUUCAGUACUGACACAAAUUUAGUAAAUAGAACAGACAAUAAUGGAGCUUCUAUAAAGCCGGGAAACAGCAUCCCUGUUGAUGACAGGAUUGUAUACGUAAUUACAUGCACACAAUGUAACCUUGGGUCACUGUAGCAAGCAGGUCCUGGGCCCUUAACAGGCAAGCAGUCAAACAGAAACCAGAGUUCCAAAAAGUGUAUUACCUGGCUCAAUAAACAGAAAAGUACAAAACUACUGACAUUUGAUGCCUCAGUGGGUAGACGGUAACACCAGCUUUGUAACUCGGACCAGGUCCUACCCAGUCCGUUUGCUUAGCUACUCUCACACGCUACCGUCCAAACUCCAGGAGUCCACCAACACUGCAGCAUGAAGCACAGAGCAAUGUUUUCCCGUGACCAAAAUGGAGCGGCUAAAUCCCCUGACCCGUGCCACCCCCAUACUGUUCCAACCAAUACCAUAUGCCCCAAAUGGGUUCCAUCCACUUGGCUAGAGGACAGAUUUCUUCAGUUCCUGGCUGAGGUUCCUGUUUUAAACAUCAAGGUAAAUUCACAGCUGUAUGUGCACAUACAAGCGGUUUCAUGCUUUUUCAAUCCAUGUCUCCCAUUCUGGAAAAGGGUUGGUGACGCUUCCUCUGAUCUUCGACUUGCACACUUUCAUCCAACAAGUUCCACUGAUUGAGCCGAGACAUGAAAAGCUUGGCACUGGACUUGGUGAGACCGAGAUCUAGAAUCAAGUCGUUGAGUUCUUUUUGGUUGGGGUAGUGUGGGUGUUUCUCCUCAGCUCCACCUCUGAAAUUCUCAUCUGGAUCUACAACGUCUUCCUCACUCCCGGAAUUGCUGCUUUCUUCUAUAUAUGGCUGGUCUCUCUUGGGAGGGGUGGGUACGGGGGAGCUCAUGGCAGUGAGGCACCGGGGCGAGGGAUGAAGGAAGGUCCGGAGACAUGAUAGCAGGUGCGUUCUUGCCAGUCCGACGUUUGGAGGGGUCCACCACGCAGAAGUGGCAGUUGCUGGAGUGGUCAAUGGGUUCCCGCCAAGUUCUUGGGAUAGCAAACUUCCUAGCUCUCUUUUCCCCUCAAUACCAUCCUACAGAAAUACAUUUAUUUCACCCAUGACUAAUGUGUGAGAGAUUCUCACAAAAUGUUUGCAUAUUAUAUAUUUUUUCAAUAACACUGAAAAUUGUAAAACAUUUUUAAAUUAAACUGAUAAUUUAAAUGUUUUUACAAAUUUUGUAACAAAAUUGCAAGCAACAAUUGUCCCUACCACCUUCCAGAGUUUUUUUGCAGUGCUCGCAGGUGAAAUGAGGUGCCCAGGGUUUGUCUGGAUUCCCGACAGGCAUGCCAAAAUAUGCCUUGUAGGCCUCACACAUCCUAGCAGAUGCUUCCACCAAGUACUUUUUCGUUCUUGUCUUGAUAAAUUGGCCGCAGACAUAGCGAAAUGCGUCUGCCGGAUGCUUGCAGCCUCUUGAUGCCAUCUCAGAACAAGGAACCAGGCAAGGCUAGUUCAGCCGGCCCGCAAUAAAAAGAAUUGCCACCUCGAGAUUCGAAUUGGGGUCGCCCCACGUGAGACAUUCGCUAGAUCUCAGUAGAGCCUCUUGUCUCUAUCCUGAACAAAUCCUCUUUUGCCACUGGCUGUUUUAAUUGUUAUUUGGCCAUUCGUGAAUGACACUGAUACAGUUAAACUGACUAACGUUUCUUACUAAGUUUACCUCCACCACAAAUAUGUAUAGCGUUUACCACUGGCCAUUUUAACAGCAUAUUAGCAUGCAAUAAGCUUUACUGGUAUCUACUAACUUACUGGAAUAGUCAUAAGAAUUGAUCAAUUGCUAGCGAGUCUGCCAAAGCAGUUUCAUUUCAUGGCAUAAGAACAUAUUUUUUUCUUUCAUGGCAAAACAACACUUUUUUCUCUUAUUGGUGAAUAACUUUUAUACAAUAACUAUAAAUAAAGGCGAUGAUGAACUUUUCCAUCAAGUGAAAAGACGAGAGAAUCGUGGAAUCUACAAGAAAUAAUUAAUAAAGGUUUUUGCUCUCAAUAGAUUCAAACUUAGGUCUUCCACAUGAGAGGCGCUGUCUUUAACCACUACACCACAGCAUUACAUGUUUCAGCAGUCGCUAGACUACAUUGAGGAUUAUGUUAAACUGACUAAAGUUUCUUAUUAAGUUUACCUCCACCAUCGUGUCUAUGAACUGUACUGCUUUUGCCACUGGCCGUUUUAACAGCUUAUUAGCCAGC
Long non-coding RNA from Esox lucius (northern pike), 3984 nucleotides. Lineage: Eukaryota; Metazoa; Chordata; Actinopteri; Esociformes; Esocidae. The record is from Ensembl.